GCCGGGCGUGGUGGCGCACACCUGUAAUCCCAACAGCUCAGGAGGCUGAGGAAGGAGGAUCACGCAUUCAAAGCCAGCCUCAGUAAUUUAGCAAGGCCAUAAGCAACUCAGCAAGACCCUGUCUCUA
RNAcentral lists this small RNA (127 nucleotides) under Marmota monax (woodchuck). Lineage: Eukaryota; Metazoa; Chordata; Mammalia; Rodentia; Sciuridae. The record is from RNAcentral.